UGGCUCAGGACGAACGCUGGCGGCGUGCUUAACACAUGCAAGUCGAACGGUGAAGCCCAGCUUGCUGGGUGGAUCAGUGGCGAACGGGUGAGUAACACGUGAGUAACCUGCCCCUGACUCUGGGAUAAGCCUUGGAAACGAGGUCUAAUACCGGAUAUGUGACGUUCAGGCAUCUGAUGCGUCUGGAAAGAUUUAUCGGUCAGGGAUGGACUCGCGGCCUAUCAGCUUGUUGGUGGGGUAACGGCCUACCAAGGCGACGACGGGUAGCCGGCCUGAGAGGGCGACCGGCCACACUGGGACUGAGACACGGCCCAGACUCCUACGGGAGGCAGCAGUGGGGAAUAUUGCACAAUGGGCGCAAGCCUGAUGCAGCGACGCCGCGUGAGGGAUGAAGGCCUUCGGGUUGUAAACCUCUUUCAGCAGGGAAGAAGCGCAAGUGACGGUACCUGCAGAAGAAGCGCCGGCUAACUACGUGCCAGCAGCCGCGGUAAUACGUAGGGCGCAAGCGUUGUCCGGAAUUAUUGGGCGUAAAGAGCUCGUAGGCGGUUUGUCGCGUCUGCUGUGAAAACUCGAGGCUCAACCUCGGGCUUGCAGUGGGUACGGGCAGACUAGAGUGCGGUAGGGGAGACUGGAAUUCCUGGUGUAGCGGUGGAAUGCGCAGAUAUCAGGAGGAACACCGAUGGCGAAGGCAGGUCUCUGGGCCGCAACUGACGCUGAGGAGCGAAAGCGUGGGGAGCAAACAGGAU
RNAcentral lists this ribosomal RNA (746 nucleotides) under uncultured bacterium. RNAcentral's name for it is "bacterial SSU rRNA". It matches the Rfam family "Bacterial small subunit ribosomal RNA", at positions 20 to 778 of the family's 1533-position model. The record is from RNAcentral.